ACGCUGGCGGCGCGUUUUAAGCAUGCAAGUCGAACGGUAAUACGGCUUCGGUCGUAUGAGAGUGGCGAACGGGUGAGUAACACGUAGGUGAUCUACCUUGGGCACGGGGAUAGCCUGUGGAAACACAGAGUAAUACCGGAUACGCCUUAGUGUCUGUGGGUACUAAGGGAAAGGAGCUUAGGCUCCGGUCUGAGAUGAGCCUGCGGUCCAUUAGCUAGUUGGUGAGGUAAAGGCCCACCAAGGCGACGAUGGAUAGCCGGCCUGAGAGGGUGAACGGCCACACUGGGACUGAGACACGGCCCAGACUCCUACGGGAGGCAGCAGCUAAGAAUCUUCCGCAAUGGGCGAAAGCCUGACGGAGCGACGCCGCGUGAACGAAGAAGGCCGGAAGGUUGUAAAGUUCUUUUCUUGGGGAGGAAUAAGGAGGAGAGGGAAUGCUCCUCUGAUGACGUGAACCGAGGAAUAAGCCCCGGCUAAUUACGUGCCAGCAGCCGCGGUAAUACGUAAGGGGCAAGCGUUGUUCGGAAUCAUUGGGCGUAAAGGGCGUGUAGGCGGUUUAUCAAGUCUGGUGUAAAAAGACCCGGCUCAACCGGGGGACUGCGCUGGAAACUGGUAGACUAGAGUAUAGGAAGGGGAGCUGGAAUUCCUGGUGUAGGGGUGAAAUCUGUAGAUAUCAGGAAGAACACCGGUGGCGAAGGCGAGCUCCUGGCCAUAUACUGACGCUGAGGCGCGAAAGCGUGGGGAGCGAACAGGAUUAGAUACCCUGGUAGUCUACGCUGUAAACGAUGUGCACUAGGUGUUGGUGGGGAGAACUGCCAGUGCCGUAGCAAACGCGUUAAGUGCACCGCCUGGGGAGUAUGCUCGCAAGGGUGAAACUCAAAGGAAUUGACGGGGGCCCGCACAAGCGGUGGAGCAUGUGGUUUAAUUCGAUAUACGCGGGGAACCUUACCAGGGCUUGACAUAUGCAGGGAAUCGCCGGAGACGGCGGUGCCUCUUCGGAGGCUUGCAUACAGGUGCUGCAUGGCUGUCGUCAGCUCGUGCUGUGAAGUGUUGGGUUAAGUCCCGCAACGAGCGCAACCCCUCCUAUCUGUUGCCAGCACGUUAAGGUGGGGACUCAGAUGUACUGCCGGUGACAAACCGGAGGAAGGUGGGGACGACGUCAAGUCAUCAUGGCCCUUAUGUCCUGGGCUACACACGUGCUACAAUGGUCGGUACAGAGUGAAGCGAGACCGCGAGGUGGAGCAAAUCACAGAAAGCCGAUCUCAGUACGAAUUGAAGUCUGAAACUCGACUUCAUGAAGGUGGAAUCGCUAGUAAUCGCGCAUCAGCAUGGCGCGGUGAAUACGUUCCCGGGCCUUGUACACACCGCCCGUCACACCACCCGAGUUGGGGGUACCCGAAGUCGCUAGUCUAACCGUCAAGGGGGACGGCGCCGAAGGUAUGCCUGGUAAGGGGGGUGAAGUCGUAACAAGGUA
Molecule: ribosomal RNA, 1474 nt
Filed under: metagenome
Description: bacterial SSU rRNA
Rfam family: Bacterial small subunit ribosomal RNA
Source: RNAcentral